Molecule: long non-coding RNA, 610 nt
Organism: Cryptomeria japonica (Japanese cedar)
Lineage: Eukaryota; Viridiplantae; Streptophyta; Pinopsida; Cupressales; Cupressaceae
Exons: 3
Source: RefSeq, a predicted model, not a curated record
GAACGAUACAAUCCUUGGAACCAUAUUCUACUUUUGGAAGCGUGAUUAACUGCAAACGGCCUGAAUUGCAAUACUCUUCUGCACUUGAGGGCAUGGAUCUCCUCCAAAGAGCUCACUAGAUACAGGAGAUUGGAGAGAGCAGAAAUGAAAAUUUUAAAAUGGAGGUCAAUAAAAUGGAGAAAAAGGUUAAAGAAAAAGUGCAGACAGCAGGGCAUGAGAAGGAGCUUUCAAAGAUGCAGGGAUGUUGGGGGCUGAAACUCAGAUGCUGGAAUAUGAGGAUCAAGGAACCCAAAAAGACUAGUGAAAUCAGACAUCAUUACUGAAAAAGCCAGGUUUGAUGAGCAGUUGGACCAGAAAUAUUUCUAAGUGCUAUUCUAUUAGCAUCAUUUUACUACUUGGAUCUAUUUAUUCGCAAGGUACUUGCACUUGGACAUAAGCCGUGUGGCCUUAUCUUCCCCAGCUAAUACUAAUUUCAAACAUUGUAUUACUUUUCAUUGUAGCCCAACAAAUAGUGGGACAACUUUUGAGGCCUUGAAAAGCCACAAGGUGGUUUUUACAAAUCAUUCACUUUAUGGAUUUGUUAAUACUGGCUGUAUUUGCAUAAAUAACG